Molecule: ribosomal RNA, 252 nt
Filed under: uncultured bacterium
Lineage: Bacteria
Description: partial 16S ribosomal RNA
Rfam family: Bacterial small subunit ribosomal RNA
Source: RNAcentral
UACGUAGGUCCCGAGCGUUGUCCGGAUUUAUUGGGCGUAAAGCGAGCGCAGGUGGUUUAUUAAGUCUGGUGUAAAAGGCAGUGGCUCAACCAUUGUAUGCAUUGGAAACUGGUAGACUUGAGUGCAGGAGAGGAGAGUGGAAUUCCAUGUGUAGCGGUGAAAUGCGUAGAUAUAUGGAGGAACGCCGGUGGCGAAAGCGGCUCUCUGGCCUGUAACUGACACAGAGGCUCGAAAGCGUGGGGAGCAAACAGG